This 26-nucleotide non-coding RNA is filed under the name Mus musculus (house mouse). The record is from RNAcentral. Lineage: Eukaryota; Metazoa; Chordata; Mammalia; Rodentia; Muridae.
UACAAAUUCAGUAUGGGCAUCGCUUG